Molecule: ribosomal RNA, 301 nt
Filed under: uncultured bacterium
Lineage: Bacteria
Description: partial 16S ribosomal RNA
Rfam family: Bacterial small subunit ribosomal RNA
Source: RNAcentral
UAGGGAAUCUUCCACAAUGGACGCAAGUCUGAUGGAGCAACGCCGCGUGAGUGAAGAAGGUUUUCGGACCGUAAAGCUCUGUUGUUGGUGAAGAAGGAUAGAGGUAGUAACUGGCCUUUAUUUGACGGUAAUCAACCAGAAAGUCACGGCUAACUACGUGCCAGCAGCCGCGGUAAUACGUAGGUGGCAAGCGUUGUCCGGAUUUAUUGGGCGUAAAGCGAGCGCAGGCGGAAGAAUAAGUCUGAUGUGAAAGCCCUCGGCUUAACCGAGGAAUUGCAUCGGAAACUGUUUUCUUGAGUGC